GGGCCCGCACAAGCGGUGGAGCAUGUGGUUUAAUUCGAUGCAACGCGAAGAACCUUACCAGGGCUUGACAUACUACAAAUUCUUUAGAGAUAGAGAAGUGCCUUCGGGAAUGUAGAUACAGGUGGUGCAUGGCUGUCGUCAGCUCGUGUCGUGAGAUGUUGGGUUAAGUCCCGCAACGAGCGCAACCCUUAUUUUUAGUUACCAACUUGUUGGGUUUUCUAGAAAGACUGCCGGUGACAAACCGGAGGAAGGUGAGGAUGACGUCAAGUCAGCAUGCCCCUUAUGUCCUGGGCUACACACGUGCUACAAUGGCUAAGACAAAGAGUCGCGAACUUGCAAAAGUCAGCUAAUCUCAUAAACUUAGUCUAAGUUCAGAUUGUAGGCUGCAACUCGCCUACAUGAAGUUGGAAUCGCUAGUAAUCGC
RNAcentral lists this ribosomal RNA (424 nucleotides) under uncultured bacterium. RNAcentral's name for it is "bacterial SSU rRNA". It matches the Rfam family "Bacterial small subunit ribosomal RNA", at positions 917 to 1345 of the family's 1533-position model. The record is from RNAcentral.